GAGACCCCCUCCCCAAUCAGGAAAGUUGCAGUGGUCGUGGAGACAAGCAGAACGCAGCCUGGAUUCAGAUUCGCAUGGAACCACAGACCGACGUUUCUUCACCUGUAAAAGGGGGACAACCAUCCCACAUAUUCUUGGAGCUGCACCAAGGAACAACCAAAGUGGGUACAACAUUGUGGAUUCUUCACACCCUCGGAGGGUCAGGAAGGGGCGGACGAGUCCACGGGCUGCAGUCAUGCAGGCACGAGGUGGAAGUUUCCAGAAGGCAGGUUUCAGCUCUGCCUGUGGAAGAGCAUCCCGGCAGAGCUGCCCCAGGAGGGAAGGAGUCUCCACGCUGGUGAACAUGCAUCGCUGGGCUCGCUUGGACAGAGCCGGGCGGGUACCAGUAAGGGCACAGAGAUGAGAGUCACUGUGUGGCGGGCCGGAUUGGGUGUCACCCGUGGUCACUGCCCAUCNNNNNNNNNNNNNNNNNNNNNNNNNNNNNNNNNNNNNNNNNNNNNNNNNNNNNNNNNNNNNNNNNNNNNNNNNNNNNNNNNNNNNNNNNNNNNNNNNNNGUGUGGUGGGCCGGAUUGGGUGUCACCCGUGGUCACUGCCCAUCUAAGGCUCAGGGAUUGAAGGAGUCUCGGGUUUGCUCAGGACGCAGACUCCUCAGCAUUCAGAGGUUUGGGGCAUGGCCUCACACGUGCAUGCCCUGGGAUGAGGAGGGCAGGACCAUCCUGCUCCCAGGCUGGGAGGUCAGACCCCUGAGGUGCCCUGGCUCAGCCAUCACUAAUGACUUGAACCCACAUGUCCUGCCUGCCAGCAGUCAGCCCCUAAGUCAGCUGCCUCCUCUUCUGACACUGAUGGGCACCGGGGAUGCCUCGAGAAUGACCCAACGAGGCUCACAGGGGGUCCUCUGCACGGGCCUCUUCUGGAAACCGACUGUCCCGUUCUCCUGGUCCUGUGAAUUGUCCAACACAGCAUGAAGGCUCAGGCUUGGUCCCUGUUCCUUGCUCAGGGAGGCGACAUCUGUCCCCGCUGUCCUGGGAACAAGGGUGGUGCCCUGCGCACACAGGCACAGCAUCAUUCUAGCCUGUGCACCUCCUGUGUCCCCGGUGCCAGGCAGCAGAGGCUCAACUGAUGUCAGUGACCUGGGUAAAGAUUGGUAUUUGGAGGGGGGUCAUGCCUGUGAAGGUGGUGGUGGGGGUCCCCUCUCCUCUCAGGACAAGUGAGCCAUGUCCAGAGUGAGACAAGCAGAUCACACACCUACCCGUCUGGUCCUUGAAGCUAGUGGUUCUGCCACGCUCCCCUCCUCCACCCUGUCUGGAAGCCACUUUGCCCAGAGGUGGUGGAGAGAUGGCAUGGUGCCCAGCCUUUGCUGCCAGCUUGCCUUCUUUCUGCAGCCUGGCCUGUGGACCAGGCCCACCGCAAGCUCCCUCCCGGGGUGAGGAGUCUGGGAGGCUAUUAGCCUAAUUGUCGUGGAGAGGCUGGGACCAGCGAGAUCCCCUAGGGGACUGUUCAGGGAGGGGCUGGGAGGGCCUCUGUCUGCAGCCUCUUCAGCUCUUCCCUGCCCCCAGCACCCUGCUCCCUGAACAUCCUGCCCAGCGCAUCCCACACAGAGGGGACCCUCCCCCCCGGAAGGCAGGAGCUCACUGGCCAAGGCCUGAGUGCACAGAUUUCCACUGGGCCAGUGAUGUGGGCAGAGACACUUGGGGGAGUCUUAACUCUAGGUCUUAAAGAUGAAGGGCCCUCCUGCCCAGCCCCCACCUCCAGGCAGAUGAGUCCCUGUCCCCUUCCCACAGACUAAGAGGUUAGGCUGUGCCCAGGGUCACCUAGAAAUGGAGGCAUUGAGUCUGCACUCAGGGUUUGGUGCCGAAAGCAGGGCUACCCAAGGUACAGGAGCAGAGAAAAGGCCAUUAGCUGCAGGGCCUCCCCGAGAGGCUGGCUGGGCUCUCCCUGGUCAAAGCCCCUUGCUGCCCGUUCCUGGGGCUGGACAGGCCCUUCCAUCUCAUACCACUGUGUCAUCAGGACCCAGCAGGGAGCCGGUGGUUCACUGGCUCUAGGAUAACGUGAGUUUAUUUACAAGGAGACUUUCCAGAGAUGUCUGGAGAAGAGCUGGACCAUGAAGAAGGCUGAGCACUGAAGAAUUGAUGGUUUUGAACUGUGGUAUUGG
RNAcentral lists this long non-coding RNA (2152 nucleotides) under Capra hircus (goat). Its description in RNAcentral is "lncRNA (ENSCHIG00010016475.1)". The record is from RNAcentral. Lineage: Eukaryota; Metazoa; Chordata; Mammalia; Artiodactyla; Bovidae.